RNAcentral lists this ribosomal RNA (728 nucleotides) under Salmonella enterica. Its description in RNAcentral is "partial 23S ribosomal RNA". It matches the Rfam family "Bacterial large subunit ribosomal RNA", at positions 2076 to 2803 of the family's 2925-position model. Lineage: Bacteria; Pseudomonadati; Pseudomonadota; Gammaproteobacteria; Enterobacterales; Enterobacteriaceae. The record is from RNAcentral.
CAAGACGGAAAGACCCCGUGAACCUUUACUAUAGCUUGACACUGAACAUUGAGCCUUGAUGUGUAGGAUAGGUGGGAGGCUUUGAAGCGUGGACGCCAGUCUGCGUGGAGCCGACCUUGAAAUACCACCCUUUAAUGUUUGAUGUUCUAACGUGGACCCGUGAUCCGGGUUGCGGACAGUGUCUGGUGGGUAGUUUGACUGGGGCGGUCUCCUCCUAAAGAGUAACGGAGGAGCACGAAGGUUGGCUAAUCCUGGUCGGACAUCAGGAGGUUAGUGCAAUGGCAUAAGCCAGCUUGACUGCGAGCGUGACGGCGCGAGCAGGUGCGAAAGCAGGUCAUAGUGAUCCGGUGGUUCUGAAUGGAAGGGCCAUCGCUCAACGGAUAAAAGGUACUCCGGGGAUAACAGGCUGAUACCGCCCAAGAGUUCAUAUCGACGGCGGUGUUUGGCACCUCGAUGUCGGCUCAUCACAUCCUGGGGCUGAAGUAGGUCCCAAGGGUAUGGCUGUUCGCCAUUUAAAGUGGUACGCGAGCUGGGUUUAGAACGUCGUGAGACAGUUCGGUCCCUAUCUGCCGUGGGCGCUGGAGAACUGAGGGGGGCUGCUCCUAGUACGAGAGGACCGGAGUGGACGCAUCACUGGUGUUCGGGUUGUCAUGCCAAUGGCACUGCCCGGUAGCUAAAUGCGGAAGAGAUAAGUGCUGAAAGCAUCUAAGCACGAAACUUGCCCCGAG